AAGUCGUAACAAGGUCUCCGUAGGUGAACCUGCGGAGGGAUCAUUACUGAGUUUUUAACUCUCCAAACCAUGUGAACUUACCACUGUUGCCUCGGUGGUCGGUGCUGGAAACAGUGCUGCCACCGGUGGACUACUAAACUCUUGUUAAUUUUUGUCAAAUCUGAAUCAAACUAAGAAAUAAGUUAAAACUUUCAACAACGGAUCUCUUGGUUCUG
RNAcentral lists this unclassified non-coding RNA (215 nucleotides) under fungal sp. RNAcentral's name for it is "partial contains small subunit ribosomal RNA, internal transcribed spacer 1, and 5.8S ribosomal RNA". The stretch from base 1 to 46 matches the Rfam family "Eukaryotic small subunit ribosomal RNA", at positions 1786 to 1831 of the family's 1831-position model. RNAcentral also lists the same sequence under 4 other names. Lineage: Eukaryota; Fungi. The record is from RNAcentral.